UACAGAGGGUGCGAGCGUUAAUCGGAAUUACUGGGCGUAAAGCGUGCGUAGACGGUUAUUUAAGCCGGGUGUGAAAGCCCCGGGCUCAACCUGGGAAUUGCAGUGGAUACUGGCAGGCUAGAGUACGGUAGAGGAUGGUGGAAUUCCCGGUGUAGCGGUGAAAUGCGUAGAGAUCGGGAGGAACACCCGUGGCGAAGGCGGCCAUCUGGACCAGUACUGACGCUGAGGCACGAAAGCGUGGGGAGCAAACAGG
This 253-nucleotide ribosomal RNA is filed under the name uncultured bacterium. RNAcentral's name for it is "partial 16S ribosomal RNA". It matches the Rfam family "Bacterial small subunit ribosomal RNA", at positions 524 to 776 of the family's 1533-position model. The record is from RNAcentral.